CAAGUCGAGCGAACGGACGAGAAGCUUGCUUCUCUGAUGUUAGCGGCGGACGGGUGAGUAACACGUGGAUAACCUACCUAUAAGACUGGGAUAACUUCGGGAAACCGGAGCUAAUACCGGAUAAUAUUUUGAACCGCAUGGUUCAAAAGUAAAAGACGGUCUUGCUGUCACUUAUAGAUGGAUCCGCGCUGCAUUAGCUAGUUGGUAAGGUAACGGCUUACCAAGGCAACGAUGCAUAGCCGACCUGAGAGGGUGAUCGGCCACACUGGAACUGAGACACGGUCCAGACUCCUACGGGAGGCAGCAGUAGGGAAUCUUCCGCAAUGGGCGAAAGCCUGACGGAGCAACGCCGCGUGAGUGAUGAAGGUCUUCGGAUCGUAAAACUCUGUUAUUAGGGAAGAACAUAUGUGUAAGUAACUGUGCACAUCUUGACGGUACCUAAUCAGAAAGCCACGGCUAACUACGUGCCAGCAGCCGCGGUAAUACGUAGGUGGCAAGCGUUAUCCGGAAUUAUUGGGCGUAAAGCGCGCGUAGGCGGUUUUUUAAGUCUGAUGUGAAAGCCCACGGCUCAACCGUGGAGGGUCAUUGGAAACUGGAAAACUUGAGUGCAGAAGAGGAAAGUGGAAUUCCAUGUGUAGCGGUGAAAUGCGCAGAGAUAUGGAGGAACACCAGUGGCGAAGGCGACUUUCUGGUCUGUAACUGACGCUGAUGUGCGAAAGCGUGG
RNAcentral lists this ribosomal RNA (724 nucleotides) under uncultured Staphylococcus sp. RNAcentral describes it as "bacterial SSU rRNA". It matches the Rfam family "Bacterial small subunit ribosomal RNA", at positions 58 to 764 of the family's 1533-position model. Lineage: Bacteria; Bacillati; Bacillota; Bacilli; Caryophanales; Staphylococcaceae. The record is from RNAcentral.